CCUACGGGAGGCAGCAGUGAGGAAUUUUCCGCAAUGGGCGAAAGCCUGACGGAGCAAUACCGCGUGAGGGAUGAAGGAUUUUGGUCUGUAAACCUCUUUUCUCAAGAAAGAAGUUCUGACGGUACUUGAGGAAUAAGCAUCGGCUAACUCCGUGCCAGCAGCCGCGGUAAUACGGGGGAUGCAAGCGUUAUCCGGAAUGAUUGGGCGUAAAGCGCCUGUAGGUUGUUUAUUAAGUCCGUUGUUAAAGCCUAGGGCUUAACCCUAGAAAAGCAAUGGAAACUAGUAGACUAGAGUAUGGCAGGGGUAGAGGGAAUUUCUAGUGUAGCGGUGAAAUGCGUAGAUAUUAGAAAGAACACCGGUGGCGAAAGCGCUCUACUGGACCAUUACUGACACUCAGAGGCGAAAGCUAGGGUAGCAAAAGGGAUUAGAUACCCCUGUAGUCCUAGCCGUAAACGAUGGAUACUAGAUGUUGUGCAUUAUGUACAGUAUCGUAGCUAACGCGUUAAGUAUCCCGCCUGGGGAGUACGCUCGCAAGGGUGAAACGUUAAAUGAAUUGACGGNNGAGCGUGCGAGACGACGACGAGGGAGGUAGG
This 593-nucleotide ribosomal RNA is filed under the name uncultured bacterium. RNAcentral's name for it is "bacterial SSU rRNA". It matches the Rfam family "Bacterial small subunit ribosomal RNA", at positions 338 to 949 of the family's 1533-position model. The record is from RNAcentral.